GACGAACGCUGGCGGCGUGCCUAAUACAUGCAAGUCGAGCGGACUUGGAGGAGUGCUUGCACUCCUGAGAGUUAGCGGCGGACGGGUGAGUAACACGUAGGCAACCUGCCCUCAAGACUGGGAUAACUACCGGAAACGGUAGCUAAUACCGGAUAAUUUAUUACAUAGCAUUAUGUGAUAAUGAAAGACGGAGCAAUCUGUCACUUGGGGAUGGGCCUGCGGCGCAUUAGCUAGUUGGUGGGGUAACGGCCCACCAAGGCGACGAUGCGUAGCCGACCUGGGAGGGUGAACGGCCACACUGGGACUGAGACACGGCCCAGACUCCUACGGGAGGCAGCAGUAGGGAAUCUUCCGCAAUGGGCGAAAGCCUGACGGAGCAACGCCGCGUGAGUGAUGAAGGUGUUCGGAUCGUAAAGCUCUGUUGCCAAGGAAGAACGUCUCAUAGAGUAACUGCUAUGAGAGUGACGGUACUUGAGAAGAAAGCCCCGGCUAACUACGUG
RNAcentral lists this ribosomal RNA (500 nucleotides) under uncultured bacterium. RNAcentral describes it as "partial 16S ribosomal RNA". It matches the Rfam family "Bacterial small subunit ribosomal RNA", at positions 28 to 507 of the family's 1533-position model. The record is from RNAcentral.